CGGACGGGUGAGUAACACGUGGAUAACCUACCUAUAAGACUGGGAUAACUUCGGGAAACCGGAGCUAAUACCGGAUAACAUGUUGAACCGCAUGGUUCAACAGUGAAAGACGGUCUUGCUGUCACUUAUAGAUGGAUCCGCGCCGCACUAGCUAGUUGGUAAGGUAACGGCUUACCAAGGCAACGAUGCGUAGCCGACCUGAGAGGGUGAUCGGCCACACUGGAACUGAGACACGGUCCAG
Molecule: ribosomal RNA, 241 nt
Filed under: uncultured Staphylococcus sp.
Lineage: Bacteria; Bacillati; Bacillota; Bacilli; Caryophanales; Staphylococcaceae
Description: partial 16S ribosomal RNA
Rfam family: Bacterial small subunit ribosomal RNA
Source: RNAcentral